This 1379-nucleotide ribosomal RNA is filed under the name metagenome. RNAcentral describes it as "SSU rRNA". It matches the Rfam family "Eukaryotic small subunit ribosomal RNA", at positions 372 to 1801 of the family's 1831-position model. The record is from RNAcentral.
AGGGUUCGAUUCCGGAGAGGGAGCCUGAAAAAUGGCUACCACAUCUAAGGAAGGCAGCAGGCGCGUAAAUUACCCAAUCCUGAUUCAGGGAGGUAGUGACAAGAAAUAACAACUCGGGGACCGAAUGGUCUUACGGGAUUGCAAUGAGGACAAUUUAAAUCACUUAGCGAGGAACAAUUGGAGGGCAAGUCUGGUGCCAGCAGCCGCGGUAAUUCCAGCUCCAAUAGCGUAUAUUAAAGUUGUUGCAGUUAAAAAGCUCGUAGUUGAACUUCUGGGAGUGAUUUGGUUCGGCUUUUAGUCAGCUAUUUCGCUUCCAUUCGUCUGCAAACUGUGCUUGCCCUUCACUGGUGCGACUCAGCGAGUAGACAUUUUACUUUGAAAAAAUUAGAGUGCUUAAAGCAGGCAAUCGCCUGAAUACUUUAGCAUGGAAUAAUGGAAUAGGACUCACACUCCGUUUGAUUGGUUUUCGGAUAUGAGUAAUGAUUAAUAGGGACAGUUGGGGGCAUUAGUAUUUAAUUGUCAGAGGUGAAAUUCACGGAUUUAUUAAAGACUAACUUAUGCGAAAGCAUUUGCCAAGGAUGUUUUCAUUAAUCAAGAACGAAAGUUAAGGGAUCAAAGACGAUCAGAUACCGUCCUAGUCUUAACUAUAAACUAUACCGACUCGGGAUUGUCAAGGUAUUCUAAUCCUUGGCAGCACCGUAUGAGAAAUCAUAAGUCUUUGGGUUCUGGGGGGAGUAUGGUCGCAAGGCUGAAACUUAAAGGAAUUGACGGAAGGACACCACCAGGAGUGGAGCCUGCGGCUUAAUUUGACCCAACACGGGGAAACUUACCAGGUCAAAACAUGAGUGGGAUUGACAGAUUGAGAGCCCUUUCUUGAUUGUAUGGGUGGUGGUGCAUGGCCGUUCCUAGUUGGUGGAGUGGUUUGUCUGGUUAACUCCGUUAACGAACGAGACCUUAACCUGCUAACUAGUUCUCUUGUCACUAACAGGAGAUACUUCUUAGAGGGACUAUGGGAUUCAAGCCCAUGGAAGUUUGAGGCAAUAACAGGUCUGUGAUGCCCCUAGAUGUCCUGGGCCGCACGCGUUCUACAAUGACUUGUGCAGCAAGUUCUAUCCUGGCUCGGAAGAGUGCGGGUAAACUUUAUAAUGCAAGUCGUAUUAGGGAUCGAUCUUUGAAAUUAUAGAUCUUGAACAAGGAAUUCCUAGUAAGUGCAAGUCAUCAGCUUGUACUGAUUACGUCCCUGCCCUUUGUACACACCGCCCGUCGCUCCUACCGAUUUCGAGUGAUACGGUGAACCUCCUGGACCGCAGAGACUUCGAGUUAAUGUGGGAAGUUAAGUAAACCUUUCACUUAGAGGAAGGAGAAGUCGUAACAAGGUU